GACGAACGCUGGCGGCGUGCUUAACACAUGCAAGUCGAACGGAAAGGCCCUGCUUGCGGGGUGUGCUCGUGGGGCACACGUGAGUGUCACGCGGGUGUAACCCGCUCCUCACUGUGGGAUGACUUCAGGACACGGGGUCUAACACGAGAUAGGCGCUCCUGCUUGAUGGGGUGGGUUGGAAAUUUUGGUCGGGGUUGGAUGGGCUCGCGGCCUAUCAGGUUGUUGGUUGGGGAAUUGCCUACCAAGGCGUGGGCGGGUAGCCGGGCUGGGAGGGUGGACGGGCACAUUGGGACUGAGAUACGGCCCAGACUCCUACGGGAGGCAGCAGGGGGGAAUAUUGCACAAUUGGCGGAAGCCUGAUGCAGCGACGCCGGGUGGGGGAUGACGGCCCUCGGGUUGUAAAACCCUUUCGCUAGGGAAGAAGCUUUUUGUGACGGUAACUAGAAAAGAAGCACCGGCUAACUACGUG
RNAcentral lists this ribosomal RNA (469 nucleotides) under uncultured bacterium. RNAcentral's name for it is "partial 16S ribosomal RNA". It matches the Rfam family "Bacterial small subunit ribosomal RNA", at positions 28 to 507 of the family's 1533-position model. The record is from RNAcentral.